RNAcentral lists this ribosomal RNA (494 nucleotides) under uncultured bacterium. Its description in RNAcentral is "partial 16S ribosomal RNA". It matches the Rfam family "Bacterial small subunit ribosomal RNA", at positions 28 to 507 of the family's 1533-position model. The record is from RNAcentral.
GACGAACGCUGGCGGCGUGCUUAACACAUGCAAGUCGAACGGAAAGGCCUGCUUUCCCUUGUGGAUUGCGGGUACUCGAGUGGCGAACGGGUGAGUAACACGUGAGUGAUCUGCCCCCAACUUGGGUAUAAGCCUGGGAAACUGGGUCUAAUUCCCGAUAGGACUGCAGGGUGGUGCCUGUGGUGGAAAACGAUUUUCUAGUGGUUGGGGAUGAGCUCGCGGCCUAUCAGCUUGUUGGUGGGGUAAUGGCCUACCAAGGCGGCGACGGGUAGCCGGCCUGAGAGGGUGGACGGCCACAUUGGGACUGAGAUACGGCCCAGACUCCUACGGGAGGCAGCAGUGGGGAAUAGUGCACAAUGGGCGGAAGCCUGAUGCAGCGACGCCGCGUGGGGGAUGACGGCCUUCGGGUUGUAAACUCCUUUCGGCCGCGAGGAAGCCACCUGGUUGGAAGGGUGGUGACGGUAGUGGUAGAAGAAGCACCGGCUAACUACGUG